AUUGAACGCUGGCGGCACGCCUAACACAUGCAAGUCGAGCGGCAGCGCGAUAUGUAGCAAUACAUAUUGGCGGCGAGCGGCGGACGGGUGAGGAACACGUAGGAACCUACCCUCGAGUGGGGGAUAACCAAGGGAAACUUUGGCUAAUACCGCAUGAUUUCGAGAGAGCAAAGCUGCCGCAAGGUGGCGCUCGAGGAGGGGCCUGCGUCCGAUUAGCUAGUUGGUGAGGUAAGAGCUCACCAAGGCGAUGAUCGGUAACUGGUCUGAGAGGACGACCAGUCACACUGGGACUGAGACACGGCCCAGACUCCUACGGGAGGCAGCAGUGGGGAAUAUUGGACAAUGGGGGCAACCCUGAUCCAGCGAUGCCGCGUGAGUGAAGAAGGCCUUCGGGUCGUAAAGCUCUUUAGGUUGGGAAGAAGAGUGAUGGAGGAAAUGCUAUCACUUUGACGGUACCGACAGAAUAAGCACCGGCAAACUCUGUGCCAGCAGCCGCCGCAG
Molecule: ribosomal RNA, 501 nt
Filed under: uncultured bacterium
Lineage: Bacteria
Description: partial 16S ribosomal RNA
Rfam family: Bacterial small subunit ribosomal RNA
Source: RNAcentral